Molecule: transfer RNA, 75 nt
Filed under: Planctomycetaceae bacterium
Lineage: Bacteria; Pseudomonadati; Planctomycetota; Planctomycetia; Planctomycetales; Planctomycetaceae
Description: tRNA-Gln
Rfam family: tRNA
About the family: Transfer RNA (tRNA) molecules are approximately 80 nucleotides in length.
Source: RNAcentral
UGGGGCGUAGUGUAAUUGGUAGCACGACGGAUUCUGGCUCCGUUAGUUGGGGUUCAAGUCCCUGCGCCCCAGCCU